CCACCGCCGCACACACACACGCAACCCCACGCUCCAUCACUCCCCCCGCCGCCGCACACACACACACAACCCCACGCUCCAUCACUCCCCUGCCCCAAUCUUACCUCCUUUUACUUCACGCCACCUCCAAACCCCACCCUGCCCCUUCCCGCCCUGUCAAAAUCCAGGAAAGACAGGAAGGAAGGAAAGAAGGAAGAAAGAGAAAGGGAGGUAAAGAAAAAGGGGGAAGGAAGGAAAGUUAGAGAAAGAAGGAAGAAGAAAAGGAAAGAAAAGGAAAGAGGUAGAGAAGGAAGAAAUGAGAGACAGAGGGAGGGAAAGAAAAAGGGGGAAGGAAGGAAGGAGAGAAGGAAAGAAAAAAGGGAAUGAAGGAAGGAAA
Molecule: non-coding RNA, 376 nt
Organism: Anolis sagrei ordinatus
Lineage: Eukaryota; Metazoa; Chordata; Lepidosauria; Squamata; Anolidae
Source: RefSeq, a predicted model, not a curated record